This 460-nucleotide ribosomal RNA is filed under the name uncultured bacterium. RNAcentral's name for it is "partial 16S ribosomal RNA". It matches the Rfam family "Bacterial small subunit ribosomal RNA", at positions 338 to 795 of the family's 1533-position model. The record is from RNAcentral.
CCUACGGGUGGCAGCAGUGAGGAAUAUUGGUCAAUGGGCGGGAGCCUGAACCAGCCACGUCGCGUGAGGGAAGAAGGUCCUAUGGAUUGUAAACCUCUUUAGGCGGGGAGCACUGCCGGGCACGUGUGCCCGGAGGGAGAGUACCCGCAGAAUAAGCAUCGGCUAACUCCGUGCCAGCAGACGCGGUAAUACGGAGGAUGCGAGCGUUAUCCGGAUUUAUUGGGUUUAAAGGGUGCGUAGGCGGAGUUUUAAGUCAGCGGUAAAAUGCCUGGGCUCAACCCGGGCCGGCCGUUGAAACUGGGGAUCUGGAGUUGGCGAGAAGUAUGCGGAAUGCGUGGUGUAGCGGUGAAAUGCAUAGAUAGCACGGAGAACUCCGAGUGCGAAGGCAGCAUACCGGCGCCCGACUGACGCUGAGGCACGAAAGCGUGGGGAUCGAACAGGAUUAGAUACCCCAGUAGUC